This 200-nucleotide ribosomal RNA is filed under the name uncultured Glomus. RNAcentral's name for it is "partial small subunit ribosomal RNA". It matches the Rfam family "Eukaryotic small subunit ribosomal RNA", at positions 591 to 797 of the family's 1831-position model. Lineage: Eukaryota; Fungi; Glomeromycota; Glomeromycetes; Glomerales; Glomeraceae. The record is from RNAcentral.
CCAAUAGCGUAUAUUAAAGUUGUUGCAGUUAAAAAGCUCGUAGUUGAAUUUCGGGAUCAGUUGGUCGGUCGUGCCUCGGUACGUACUGGUCAAAUUGAUUCCUACCUUCUGACGAACCACGAUGUCAUUAAUUUGGUGUCGUGGGGAAUCAGGACUGUUACUUUGAAAAAAUUAGAGUGUUUAAAGCAGGCUCGCGCUUG